This 253-nucleotide ribosomal RNA is filed under the name uncultured bacterium. Its description in RNAcentral is "partial 16S ribosomal RNA". It matches the Rfam family "Bacterial small subunit ribosomal RNA", at positions 524 to 776 of the family's 1533-position model. The record is from RNAcentral.
UACGUAGGGUGCAAGCGUUAAUCGGAAUUACUGGGCGUAAAGCGUGCGCAGGCGGUUUCGUAAGUCUGUCGUGAAAUCCCCGGGCUUAACCUGGGAAUGGCGAUGGAGACUGCGAGGCUAGAGUUUGGCAGAGGGGGGUAGAAUUCCACGUGUAGCAGUGAAAUGCGUAGAGAUGUGGAGGAACACCGAUGGCGAAGGCAGCCCCCUGGGUCAAAACUGACGCUCAUGCACGAAAGCGUGGGGAUCAAACAGG